This 253-nucleotide ribosomal RNA is filed under the name uncultured bacterium. Its description in RNAcentral is "partial 16S ribosomal RNA". It matches the Rfam family "Bacterial small subunit ribosomal RNA", at positions 524 to 776 of the family's 1533-position model. The record is from RNAcentral.
UACGUAGGGUGCAAGCGUUGUCCGGAAUUAUUGGGCGUAAAGAGCUCGUAGGCGGUUUGUCGCGUCUGCUGUGAAAACUCGGGGCUUAACCCCGGGCCUGCAGUGGGUACGGGCAGACUAGAGUGCGGUAGGGGAGACUGGAAUUCCUGGUGUAGCGGUGAAAUGCGCAGAUAUCAGGAGGAACACCAGCGGCGAAGGCGGCGCUCUGGGCCGGAACUGACGCUGAGGAGCGAAAGCGUGGGGAGCAAACAGG